UAUUAGGCCAAAAAAAAAUAUUUGUCUGUUUCCUGUUUCCCGACCGACCCUGACUCAAAGCUCCCGACCCUAGAUCUUUUUAUUCAAUUCCGGAAAAAAAAUCGUUUCCGGUCCCGAAAAAUUAGUUUCCGGUCCGAUCCAGAUCCGUAUUUUACUAUACCCAAACAAUCAAAAUGGCUGCUCCCAGCACAAAUGUGCUACAAUUAAGGUUUAAAAAAUGUCGGCACUGGGAGGAUUAUUCAAUUAAAGCUUCUUUAAAGAGAUUAAAUGAUUUUAGGGUACAGGACCCUAACCAAACAUGACAUUUAACCAUCUGUAAAUCUGACAGGGAGUGCAAAAAUAAUAAAAAAAAAAAAAAAAAAAAAAAAAUCCAGACCUACCGACCCUGAUUUUUUUGCCUUGGCAGCAGGAAACAGACAUAUAUUUUUUUUUGGCCUUA
This 439-nucleotide long non-coding RNA is filed under the name Mytilus galloprovincialis (Mediterranean mussel). Lineage: Eukaryota; Metazoa; Mollusca; Bivalvia; Mytilida; Mytilidae. The record is from RNAcentral.